GAUGAACGCUGGCGGCGUGCUUAACACAUGCAAGUCGAACGAUGAAGCCCAGCUUGCUGGGUGGAUUAGUGGCGAACGGGUGAGUAACACGUGAGUAACCUGCCCUUAACUCUGGGAUAAGCCUGGGAAACUGGGUCUAAUACCGGAUAGGAGCGUCCACCGCAUGGUGGGUGUUGGAAAGAUUUAUCGGUUUUGGAUGGACUCGCGGCCUAUCAGCUUGUUGGUGAGGUAAUUGCUCACCAAGGCGACGACGGGUAGCCGGCCUGAGAGGGUGACCGGCCACACUGGGACUGAGACACGGCCCAGACUCCUACGGGAGGCAGCAGUGGGGAAUAUUGCACAAUGGGCGCAAGCCUGAUGCAGCGACGCCGCGUGAGGGAUGACGGCCUUCGGGUUGUAAACCUCUUUCAGUAGGGAAGAAGCGAAAGUGACGGUACCUGCAGAAGAAGCACCGGCUAACUACGUG
RNAcentral lists this ribosomal RNA (466 nucleotides) under uncultured bacterium. Its description in RNAcentral is "partial 16S ribosomal RNA". It matches the Rfam family "Bacterial small subunit ribosomal RNA", at positions 28 to 507 of the family's 1533-position model. The record is from RNAcentral.